UUUUACAAUAAAAUAAUUUUGGGAAUUGUGUAUUAAAUAAUGGAAGAGUUUACUGUCUCCUCAAAACAUUUAGUAUUCUAUAAAUUUUGUCGUUGAUUUUAUUAGUGAAAUGUAUGAAAAAAGUGUAAAAUAAUUUUAAUAGCAUCCACGCAGAAUUAUUGCAAUAAAGUAAGUUGAUAUGUAUGUCAGGACAUUGUUAACAUGCACAUAGUGUUUAUAUUAGCCAUGCUCUUUAGCUAAUGUGUUAUAUUUCAUAUAAAUGCAUGAAAUAUCAACAUUCCUGGAUAAUAGUAACGCUAACUAGGUAUGUUGAAAAUAUUAAAAGUUAUUUAUUAAAUACAGUAGGAGUUUUUGUUAGCGUUCUGUAUACCUGAGUAUGCUUUUAAAUAAUAUAAUUAGAUAUUAAUUAAUUUAUCCGUAGUUCAUAUUUUCCAUUAUGCAAACUAUAAUGAAGGUAAAAUGCUGAUUAACACUUAUAAUCCAUGUCCAUGUAUGGCGUGUAUCAUGGUCUCACAACAGUAAAUCACCAAACUGCCAGAUUAAAAUUACUAAUCUUAACUUAUAAUUCAUCUAUAGUCAUCAAUAAUAACCCUAUAGCACCAGUCGAAGAAGUUGGGACAAAUUUACUAUAGGUUUUACGUACAAAAUGAUGAAUUAUAUGACAGACAAAAUGAAAUAUACGUUAAAUUUGGUCGUGGUGGUAAUCACUAAGUGAAUACAGAAAUUAAAACUAAAUACAGACACUUGACUCAAAGAGUGAUACAAAUUUUCUUAAAAUUUUGCAGAGCUUGUCAAACAAAAAUGUCAUCUAAACGAAAAGACCUUGUAGUUAAACCGAUUAUUCAUUCAGAAAUUAAGUAUCGUUAUCAGGUAUAUCUCAUCUGGGCCUGGAUAAACAACAGAGGCAUUGUGUACUACACAUUUCUGGGCGUAUAUUAUUUAAAAAAAAAAAUCGUUGAAAGUUAAAAACAAAUCUCAUUUUAUUUAUUUCACAAGUAGAUCCUAAAAACAAAUUUCUUGAGUUAUGUAAAAUUUAUAUCUACAAAUCACCAUUUUUUUUUUCAAUUUUUUUCUGUAAGCAUUUUUAUACUUCUAAUUUUUUUUUUGCAAAUUCAUGAAAAAAGUGUUGACAACGAUUGGUAGAAGUAACGGUACAGAAAUUAGUCAUCAUUCUUUUAUUUGAAAAAAAAAACUUUUUCUACUUUUAGAUUCCGAGCGUAUCGUAGUAGCUAUUGUUAUUACUAUAGUGUUUAUUUAUUAUUUUGUUCUUCUAGUCUGUGGACACGUUUCUUUCUAAUAAACUCCUUCCGAUUUGUAUAUGUGCCUAUUUUUCUGUAAGCACGAAGGUACUUUUUAGAUUAUUAACGCCAUGUUUCAAAUAAAAACACUUAAAAAAAAAUAUAAACGUACAAUUUCUCUAUUUUAUUAUUUUAUUAAAACACGGACGACGUUCUCUACGAAAAUAGGUCGUCCAUGUAUUAAUCGAAAAAUCACAAUAUAACUUUUUUGUGGCCUUUUCGAUAUACUUUCAAUCGGUAUCAAAACCAGAUUUUUGAGCCACUUUUGAGCUUUUAAGGAAUUUUACUUUAGGAUAGAGUUUUUUAACGGAAAAAAAGCUUAAAUCCGAAAAAUAACAAUUUAGCCUUUUCGUGGCCUUUAUGAUUUACUUUCAAACGGUAUCAACUUCACUCAGAAGAGUCAUUCAUCAAGCAAAGAUAUAUCUGUUAGAAAAGAUAUACCAUUUUAUGACGAAAUGAAAUCACCCUGUGUAUUAUAUGUACCUAAAUUUUAACUUAUAANUUAUAUUUUUAAAUUUAAUGAGUUUUAAUUUUAUUAUAAUAUAUCUGAUUUAGUCUGAUUCAAAUCAACUUUUGUUGAAUAGAUAAUUUACAACUUGGUGAUCUAAACCUCUAGCAAGAACAUUUGGAUAAUCAGUCGACUACAAUUAUAAGUAACGUUCAGCAAUUUUUACUGUCAACUAGAAUCAUACCUAUAUAGUAAAUAUAAAUUGUUAUGACCGUAACGUUUAACUGAAAUAUAUUAAAAUCAAAGCAUAAAUUUAAUAUUGUGUCUCCUAAAAAUAUCAUAUUAUUCGCGUAUCUAUUUCGGAUUUAUUGCAAAUAUGCUGAUAAAAUUUAUCGUUUCGUUUGUUAUUAUUUAUUCUUUUAUGCCGGUGUCAGUACAAGGUGAAGGUCCGUUUGCUCCUGAACCGCCAUCUCAUCUCCCUAAUGAUCCUGGGAAUCCAUCUAUUUCUCAUGAUUCUGACAUUUCAGAUACAGGAGUUCACCCUAACCGUUAUCCUGAUAGUUCACCCCCAGAUGAUUGUGGUGGUUUCGGUUGUUGCCCCUCACCUUGUAAGAGAAAUUUAACAUGGGCCGAAUAUAAUUGUAAUAAAGGUUAUCACAUGUAUAAACCCGAAAUACCAAAUUGUUAUUGCUGUAACUGAAUAAUUCAUUUAUUCGAGGCACAAUUGCAAACUAUUUUACAAAUUCCAUAAAAAUAUCCAAAAUGAUCUUUCCAUAAUUUAUUCGUUUAAUGAAGCACACUUCCAAAUUGAGGCACUGCUACAAUUUAAAUUAAUUUACACCUUAACUACAAUAAUAUUGGUUUGACAUUAUAUGCAUAUACCAUAAUAAUAAUAUAUUAUAAUAAAUUUGCUGUAAUAAUUAUACAUUAACUUUAUUAUUUUAGAUUAAAAGACAUUAAAAAUCAACUUUUGUCUGUACAAUAUUUGUGUAAUACAUUUAUCAUAAGUGAUAAAAUAAAAUAGUUUUUAAUUACAGAUUAUUUGUUGUAUUGAUUUCAUGAUAAAUUACUUACUCAUCAUAUCACCUAUAAUGAUACUGUGAAAGUUUAUUUAUUUGUUUGUAAUAUUGAAAACCUUAACUCCAAAAUUAAUACAAAACAAUAACUUUUAUUGUAUUUUUUAAAUUAAAUUUGUUGUAUUUAUUAAACUUAAUACGAGUCCUAGGCAAAUGAAUCAAAUUAAAAAAAACUUUAACGUUUAACAUUUUAAACGGUAUUUCUUUUGAAAAUGUGUAUGUAAAGAAUAAAAUAUGUUCCUUUAUAUAGUGUAUAGCUCAAACAAAUCAUUAUUGUAAAAGCAUAAUUAUCGACUGAACAUGAAGUAGACCUGGAUUGUUCGUCAGCGAUGGUUUACGGUAUAUAUUAAAUUAUUUAAGAGAGUGGCUACACUAUUCCCUUCUAUCCUAGGACGCUUUUUUUAUUUUUUUAUUGUUAAUCGGUUCGAAAUAUCCAUAGACUAGAAUAUUUAAUAGAAAACAUACAUUUGCCUUAUCUAGACUUGAUAAUACUUUUAAAUUGAUCGAACAAUUGAGGUAUUUCCAGACAUUUUAUUUGCAUGUUUUGUACUUUAUUUUAUCUGUAACUACAUUAAUUGGGUAUAUAAUUGUAAGACUAAACAGAUAUGCUUAUACAUUCAUCAAAUUGUUUAUUAGAAGACGUUCAUGUUUUUCGAAUAUAUUUUGCAUAUUAUACGUACAUAUCAUAUAUUUCCACUAUUAUUUUCGGCAUAAGAAUUAACAUACAGACACUUGUUAAGAACAGCAUUUACCUUUUACCACCUUUUUGGAAUCGUCACUCUUAUCCGUAAGUUAUGUCAUUCAAUAUUUUACUCCUAAACAUAAUAGUAAUUUGAAAGUAAAAUGAUAUGUAUGUCAGUACAUUGUUAACAUGCACAUAGUGUUUAUAUUAGCCAUGCUCUUUAGCUAAUGUGUUAUAUUUCAUAUUAAAGCAUGAAAUAUCAACAUUCCUAGAUAAUAGUAACGUUAACUAAGAAUGUUGAAAAUAUUAAAAGUUAAGUUCAAUAAUUUAUCUGCAGUUCAUAUUUACAAUUAUGCAAACUAUAAUGAAAUAAAAUACUGAUUAACACUCAUAAUCCAUGUCCAUGGUGUGUAUCAUGGUCUCACUACAGUAAAUCACCAAACUGCCAUAUUAUAAAUGUUAACUUAUAAUUCAUCUAUAAUCAUCAAUAAUAAACCUAUAGCACCAGUCGAAAAAGUUGGGACAAAUUUACUAUAGGUUUUACGUACAAAAUGAUGAAUUAUAUGACACACAAAAUGAAGUAUACAUUAAAUUGAGUCUUUCUUCAAGCAAUGAUAUAUCUGUAAGAAAAGAUAUACCNACAUCUAUCGAUCUAUUACAUCAUCUAUCUACAUUUAUCGGUUUUUUUCUAAUAAACUCGUUCCGAAUUGUAUGUGUGCCAAUUCUUCUGUAAGCACAAAGGUACUUUUUAGAUUAUUAACGCCAAGUUUCAAAUAAAAACACUUAAAAAAAAAUAUAAACGUACAAUUUCUCUAUUUUAUUAUUUUAUUAAAACAAGGACGACGUUCUCUACGAAAAUAGUUCGUCCAUGUAUUAAUCGAAAAAUCACAAUAUAACUAUUUUGUGGCCUUUUCGAUUUACUUUCAGUCGGUAUCAACUUCACUCAGAAGAGUCUUUCUUCAAGCAAUGAUAUAUCUGUUAGAAAAGAUAUACCAUUCUUUGACGAAAUGAAAUCACCCAGUGUAUUAUAUGUACCUAACUUUUCACUUAUAACGGAGGACACUCCCAUCUUUAGUACCACCACUAUUAUUAAGAUUAAGUGCAAAAUAUAAGAGUUUAAUUUAACUGUCUUCAAAUAAAUUACUUUGCAUGUGUUUGCAGCCACUGUUGUUGUAGGUGGAAAAUUAGGAAUGUAAAAUUCAGGCUGAAAUAUAAUGUAAAUCUGUAAAAAUCGAAAACCAUUGAUACCGAAAAAACAAUUCUGAGAGAGGUUUACUGAAAAAUAUUGCUGUGUCAACAAUACAUAUGUCAUAUGAAAGCAAAAUAGUUGCAUAUGCAUUAAACAUUUUCUUUAAAAAUAUUUGUUCAAUUUUAGUAUCUAUUUUACCGUUAUCCUGAUUUUGACAUAUUUAAUAUUUUGGGAAGGAUUUGAUUAUAAUAAAAUUUAUUUUAAUAAUAUAAUGAUAUUAUUAACAAAUGUAAUUUAUUAUUACUUAUUACAAAUAGUAAUUACAAUUACUACGUCCUAAUUAUAGUCAUAACAAAACAUUAAAUUCUACAAGUAUUAAUCGGCACAUAAUAGAUAUGAUGGCACCUAUAUUAUAUAAUACAUGACUCAUAUCAUACGUAAAUAUUUUGUACAACAAUAUUAUUCUAUUAUAUGUCUUUAAUAAUAAAGCAUAAUUCAAAAUUUUAAGUUAACAAAAAAAGUGAAAAUUUCCAUAAUUUUAGUAAUUUUCCAAUUAAAAUAAACACAAAAAAAUUAUUUUUGAUCCUGUAUCGAGUAGGCAGCGAACCUAGCGGUAUUUUAAACUGCAGUAAUUUUUUCAAUUAAUUUAUCAUAGACCGAAAAGUGAAAGUGAUUACACCAUAAUAAUCUACCUUAAAGGUAGGAUUAUAGUGUGUCAAUGAUUUUAAUGAUUACAAAAGUACAAUAUUUUAUAUUUUUAAAUUUAAUGAGUUUUAAUUUUAUUAUAAUAUAUCUGAUUUAGUCUGAUUCAAAUCAACUUUUGUUGAAUAGAUAAUUUACAACUUGGUGAUCUAAACCUCUAGCAAGAACAUUUGGAUAAUCAGUCGACUACAAUUAUAAGUAACGUUUAGCAAUUUUUACUGUCAACUAGAAUCAUACCUAUAUAGUAAAUAUAAAUUGUUAUGACCGUAACGUUUAACUGAAAUAUAUUAAAAUCAAAGCAUAAAUUUAAUAUUGUGUCUCCUAAAAAUAUCAUAUUAUUCGCGUAUCUAUUUCGGAUUUAUUGCAAAUAUGCUGAUAAAAUUUAUCGUUUCGUUUGUUAUUAUUUAUUCUUUUAUGCCGGUGUCAGUACAAGGUGAAGGUCCGUUUGCUCCUGAACCGCCAUCUCAUCUCCCUAAUGAUCCUGGGAAUCCAUCUAUUUCUCAUGAUUCUGACAUUUCAGAUACAGGAGUUCACCCUAACCGUUAUCCUGAUAGUUCACCCCCAGAUGAUUGUGGUGGUUUCGGUUGUUGCCCCUCACCUUGUAAGAGAAAUUUAACAUGGGCCGAAUAUAAUUGUAAUAAAGGUUAUCACAUGUAUAAACCCGAAAUACCAAAUUGUUAUUGCUGUAACUGAAUAAUUCAUUUAUUCGAGGCACAAUUGCAAACUAUUUUACAAAUUCCAUAAAAAUAUCCAAAAUGAUCUUUCCAUAAUUUAUUCGUUUAAUGAAGCACACUUCCAAAUUGAGGCACUGCUACAAUUUAAAUUAAUUUACACCUUAACUACAAUAAUAUUGGUUUGACAUUAUAUGCAUAUACCAUAAUAAUAAUAUAUUAUAAUAAAUUUGCUGUAAUAAUUAUACAUUAACUUUAUUAUUUUAGAUUAAAAGACAUUAAAAAUCAACUUUUGUCUGUACAAUAUUUGUGUAAUACAUUUAUCAUAAGUGAUAAAAUAAAAUAGUUUUUAAUUACAGUUUGUUUGCUGUAUUGAUUUCAUGAAACAUUACUUACUCAUCAUAUCACCUAUAAAGAUACGGUGAGAGUUUAGUUAUUUGUUUGUAAUAUUGAAAACCCUAACUCCAAAAUUAAUACAAAACAAUAACUUUUAUUGUAUUUUUUAAAUUAAAUUUGUUGUAUUUAUAAAACUUAAUACGAGUCCUAGGCAAAUGAAUCAAAUUAAAAAAACAUAUUUUAAAAAGUUAUUUGUUUGGAAAUGUGUAUGUAAAAAACAAAAUAUGUUCCUUAAUAUAAUGUAUUGCUUAAACAAAUCAAUGUUGUGAAAGCAAAAUUAUCGACUGAACAUGACUAAGACUUGGAUUGUUCGUCAGUUAUGGUUUACGGUAUAUAUUAAAUUAUUUAAAGAGUGGCUACACUAUUCCCUUUUAUCCUACGACGUCUUUUUUUUUUUUUAUUGUAAAUCGGUUCAAAAUAUCCAUUGACUAGAAUUUUUUACAGAAAACAUACAUUUGCCUUUUCUAGACUUGAUAAUAUUUUUAAAUUGAUCGAAAAUUUGACGCAUUUCCAGACAUUUUAUUUGCAAGUUUUGUACCUUAUUUUAUUCAGCAACUACAUUAAUUGGGUAUACAAUUGUAAGACUGAACAGAUAUGCUUAUACAUUUAUCAAAUUGUUUAUUCGAAGACGUUCAUGGUUUUCGGAAAUAUUUUGCAUAUUUUACGUACAUAUCAUAUAUUUCCACUUUUUUUUUCGGCAUGAGAAUUAACAUAGGGACACUUGUUAAGAACAGCGAUUUACCUUUUACCACCUUCUUGGAAUCUUCAGGAUAAGAGUCCUCUAGAUAUGUCAGUCAAUAUUUUACUCCUAUACAUAAUAAUAAAUGAUACCUAUUAUUGUAAUUGUGUAGAAAGCUUUAUCUUCUAAUUGAAUAAAAUUUAGGCAUCGAUUCUGGUUUCUAAAUGUAUUAUAAACAAUAAAUUAUUCUUAAUUAGACAUACAAUUGAGUCAUUAACUAUAAUAUUGAUUUUUGUUUCAAUAUCUAAUUAUCGUUAAAUGAUUUUGUUAAAACACAUUUUAAAAACUAAAUUUCUCUGACUCCUGGCUUAAUAAUUUUUCUGUUUUGUUUGUUCUAUUUAUAAUCAAAACCGUCAGUAUUUAAUUUCUCAUUAAAGUGAUAGGUAAUGGUAAUGGUAAUGAAUUUACUAUGUCGUAAAACGGGUUUUCCCAAUUAUUUUGAAAAAAACGCAUAGAAAAUGAUUUGAACGACCUUUUUUAUGAACCAACUAGAUUCAGAGUUCAACUAAAUUUUUCUAGUGGACUUUUUAAUUGAAAUAAUGCUAUAUAUUUUGGUCGAAUGUACAGAAUUAUUACAAGAUAAUUAUUUUUUUAAAAGUGUGUGACGAGCUGCACAAAACAGUUGCAUGCUAUAAAUCAUAGAACUGUGUUGCCAAUGUUUUUAUAUUAAAUAACUCUGCGAAUUUUUUUGGUUUUUUAAUUAAUUAAAAGGUACUAAAGUACAUUUUGAUAAAAGUUUAAAAAAAUUUUAAUCGCAUCUAUGCAGAAUUAUUGCAAUAGAUUAAGUUGUUAUGUAAGUUAUGGACACUGUUAACUCGUAGAUAAUGUUUAUAUUAACUUGCUUUUAUGCUAAUGUGUAAUUUUUCGUUUAAAAACAUGAAAUCUCAUCAUUUCUUGAUAAUAGUUACGCUAACCAGGAAUAUUGGACAAUGUUAAAAGUUAUUAUUUAAAUAUAGUAGAAGUUUUUGUUAAAAUUCUGUGUAUUCGGGUAUGCAUUUAAAUAAUAUUUUCAGACAUUAAAUAAUUUAACUGCAGUUCAAGAUUAGAUAAGAAUCCAUAUUUACCUUUAUGAAAAAUAUAAUGAAAUAAAAUACAGAUAAACACUCAUAAUCCAUGUCCGUGUCUGGUGUGUAUCAUGGACUCAGAACGGUAAAGCGUAGAACUGCCAGAUAUUAAUUACUUAUCAAAAUUUAUAAUUCAUGAUUUAUAAUAUUCCAAUCUGAAAUGAGUCCGUUUUUACUAGUGGUUUGUUAGGCACAAAGGUUGAAAAGCUAGUAAAAUUGUGAAAUUUUAAUUUCAUUUAUAAUUAUAAUUUCAUAAUAUAAUAAUAUUAAAACAAAUGUUAUUUGUUAUUACUUAUUACAAAUAGUCACAACAAUUAUUACCUCCUAAUAAUAGUAGUAUCAAAGCAUUAAAUUGUAGAAGUAAUAAUUGACACAUAAUAGGUAUGUUGGCACGUAUAUUAAAUAAUACAUGACUAAUAUCAUACGUAAAUAUUUUUUACAAAAAUAUUAUGUUAUUAUAUGUCUAUAUUAAUAAAGCAUAAUUUAUAAUUUUUAGUAAACAAAAAAAGUGAAAAUUUCCAUAAUUUUAGUAAUUUUCAAAUUAAAAUAAACACAAAAAAAUAAUUUUUGAUCCUGUAUGGAGUAGGCAGUGAACCUAGCGGAAUUUUAAACUGCAGUAAUUUUUUAAAUUAAUUUAUCUUAGACCAUCAAGUGAAAGUGAUUACACCAUAAUAAUCUACAUUAAAGGUAGGAUUAUAGUGUUUCAAUGAUUUUAAUGAUUUCAAUAGUACAAUAUUUUAUAUUUGAACAUUUAAUAACUUUAAAUUUUAUUGUAAUAUAAUUGAUUUUGUCUGAUUCAAAUCAACUUUUGUUGAAUAGGUAAUUUACAAACUUGGCUAUCUAAACCUCUAGCAAGAACAUUUGGAUAAUCAGUCAACUACUACUAUAACGUAAAGUGUAGCAAUUAUUACUGGCAACUGGAAUCAUACCUAUUACUAAAUAUAUAUUGUUAAGACCGUAACGUUUAAGUGAAAUAUAUUAAAAUCAAAGCAUAAAAUUAAUUUUGUGUCUCCUAAGAAUAUCGUAUUAUUCGAGUAUCUAUUUCGGAUUUAUUGCAAAUAUGCUGUUAAAAUUUAUCGUAUCGUAUGUUAUUAUUUAUUCUUUUAUGCCGGUGUCAGUACACGGUAUAGGUGAGCAUACUCCUUCACCUCCACCGCCAUCUCAUCUCCCUGAUGAUCCGUAUUUCGAGGACCCUGGCAAUCCCUCUAUUUCUUAUGCACCUUACAUUCCAGGUACUCCUGGUAACCCUCCCCGUCAGAUUAAAAUACAUUA
This 9537-nucleotide long non-coding RNA is filed under the name Cinara cedri. Lineage: Eukaryota; Metazoa; Arthropoda; Insecta; Hemiptera; Aphididae. The record is from RNAcentral.